AAUUCCAGCUCCAAUAGUGUAUAUUAGAGUUGUUGCAGUUAAAAAGCUCGUAGUUGGAUUUCUGUCGUGGUCGACCGGCACCGCCUGUAUAGGUGUGCGCCUGGUUUGCCCUCGGCUUUCUUCCGGUGAGUCUUUCCGCGCUUAAUUGCGUGUGUUGGAUUUCCGGAACUUUUACUUUGAGAAAAAUAGAGUGUUUCAAGCAGGCUUGUCGCCCUGAAUACUGCAGCAUGGAAUAAUAAGAUAGGACCUCGGUUCUAUUUUGUUGGUUUCUAGGACCAAGGUAAUGAUUAAUAGGGACAGUUGGGGGCAUUCGUAUUUAACUGUCAGAGGUGAAAUUCUUAGAUUUGUUAAAGACGAACUACUGCGAAAGCAUUUGCCAAGGAUGUUUUCAUUAAUCAAGAACGACAGUAGGGGGUUUGAAGACGAUUAGAUACCGUCGUAAUCUCUACCAUAAACUAUGCCGACUAGAGAUAGGGAAACGCCUACCUUGGCUUCUCCUG
This 500-nucleotide ribosomal RNA is filed under the name Eimeria pavonis. RNAcentral's name for it is "SSU rRNA". It matches the Rfam family "Eukaryotic small subunit ribosomal RNA", at positions 581 to 1083 of the family's 1831-position model. The record is from RNAcentral. Lineage: Eukaryota; Apicomplexa; Conoidasida; Eucoccidiorida; Eimeriidae.